RNAcentral lists this long non-coding RNA (257 nucleotides) under Salvia miltiorrhiza (redroot sage). Its description in RNAcentral is "long non-coding RNA (SMIL_LNC011726)". The record is from RNAcentral. Lineage: Eukaryota; Viridiplantae; Streptophyta; Magnoliopsida; Lamiales; Lamiaceae.
UCCAUCCGGCAUGAUGAGGGAGUGAAAGAGAGAGAGAGAGGCAGGGGCGCGGCUAUCGUCACCUGAAAUCGAGUGGGAACAUUGGGGAUCUAGGGCUCGGUUCUUCUACAGAGAGGGGUGUGAAGUCUGUGAAGUCGCUGGAGUCUGUGGAGCACUCCGCCGUCGACGCUGCUCCGCCGUCGCCGCUGCUACGAGCGCUAGGAGGUGGUGAAGUCGAUGUGCGCUAGGAGAUAGAUCUGAGACGGACAUGGAGGCGG